RNAcentral lists this ribosomal RNA (468 nucleotides) under uncultured bacterium. Its description in RNAcentral is "partial 16S ribosomal RNA". It matches the Rfam family "Bacterial small subunit ribosomal RNA", at positions 28 to 507 of the family's 1533-position model. The record is from RNAcentral.
GACGAACGCUGGCGGCGUGCUUAACACAUGCAAGUCGAACGGAAAGGCCCUGCUUUUGUGGGGUGCUCGAGUGGCGAACGGGUGAGUAACACGUGAGUAACCUGCCCUUUACUUUGGGAUAACUUCAGGAAACUGGGGCUAAUACCGGAUAGGAGCUCCUGCUGCAUGGUGUGGGUUGGAAAGUUUCGGCGGUUGGGGAUGGACUCGCGGCUUAUCAGCUUGUUGGUGGGGUAGUGGCUUACCAAGGCUUUGACGGGUAGCCGGCCUGAGAGGGUGACCGGCCACAGUGGGAAUGAGAUACGGCCCAGACUCGUACGGGAGGCAGCAGUGGGGAAUAUUGCACAAUGGGCGGAAGCCUGAUGAAGAAACGCCGCGUGCGGGAUGACGGCCUUCGGGUUGUAAACAGCUUUAGACUGUGACGAAGCGUGAGUGACGGUAAUGGGUAAAGAAGCACCGGCUAACUACGUG